GACGAACGCUGGCGGCGUGCUUAACACAUGCAAGUCGAACGGACAGGCCCUGCUUUUGUGGGGUGCUCGAGUGGCGAACGGGUGAGUAACACGUGAGUAACCUGCACUUGACUUUGGGAUAACUUCAGGAAACUGGGGCUAAUACCGGAUAGGAGCUCCUGCUGCAUGGUGGGGGUUGGAAAGUUUCGGCGGUUGGGGAUGGACUCGCGGCUUAUCAGCUUGUUGGUGGGGUAGUGGCUUACCAAGGCUUUGACGGGUAGCCGGCCUGAGAGGGGGACCGGCGACAAUGGGACUGAGAGACGGCCCAGACUCCUACGGGAGGCAGCAGUGGGGAAUAUUGCACAAUGGGCGGAAGCCGGAUGCAGCAACGCCGCGUGCGGGAUGACGGCCUUCGGGUGGUAAACCGAUGUCGCCUGUGACGAAGCGUGAGUGACGGUAAGGGGUAAAGAAGCACCGGCUAACUACGUG
This 468-nucleotide ribosomal RNA is filed under the name uncultured bacterium. Its description in RNAcentral is "partial 16S ribosomal RNA". It matches the Rfam family "Bacterial small subunit ribosomal RNA", at positions 28 to 507 of the family's 1533-position model. The record is from RNAcentral.